RNAcentral lists this ribosomal RNA (470 nucleotides) under Niceforonia nana (Santander Andes frog). RNAcentral describes it as "partial small subunit ribosomal RNA". The record is from RNAcentral. Lineage: Eukaryota; Metazoa; Chordata; Amphibia; Anura; Strabomantidae.
GCUGAGAUGGACCCUAGAAAGAUCCUUAAAACACACAGGCUUGGUCCCAACCUUACAGUCAAUUUUUACUCAACUUACACAUGCAAGUUUCCGCACCACCGUGAAAACGCCCUUUAACCCCCUCCUAGGGGGUAGGAGCCGGUAUCAGGCACAACUUUAGCCCAUGACACCUAGCUAUGCCACACCCUCAAGGGUACCCAGCAGUGAUUAACAUUAAAAAUAAACGGCAGUUUGAUUUAGUCAAAGUAAACCAGAGCCGGCAAAUCUGGUGCCAGCCGCCGCGGGUACACCAGAAGACUCAAAUUGACCCUCAUCGGCGUAAAGAGUGAUUAAAGCGCAAUUAAAUUAGAACUAAAUUUACUUUAAGCUGUAAAACGCUUGCACAUAAGAAACCCACAACAAAAGUUAUUCUAAUAACCCCAACUUGAACUCACGACAGCUAAGACCCAAACUGAGAUUAGAUACCUCCU